Chloropicon primus is the source of this 85-nucleotide non-coding RNA. NCBI's taxonomy places the organism in Eukaryota, Viridiplantae, Chlorophyta, Chloropicophyceae, Chloropicales, Chloropicaceae. The record is from the annotation of a GenBank genome assembly.
GCUAAGAUGCCCGAGCUGGUCCAAGGGGGACGACUUAAGAUCGUCUGCACGCGCGUGCGCGUGGGUUCGAAUCCCACUCUUAGCA